GGAUGCAAUAAUACCACCAUCAUUAACGCAUCGGAUUUCAUCAGAAUUCAAUAGUUAAGCAUUUUGGGUGACAGUAGUAUCAGGAUGGGUGAUCCGUAGGAAAGUGGUGUGUUGCAUUCC
RNAcentral lists this ribosomal RNA (120 nucleotides) under Capsicum annuum. The record is from RNAcentral. Lineage: Eukaryota; Viridiplantae; Streptophyta; Magnoliopsida; Solanales; Solanaceae.